RNAcentral lists this ribosomal RNA (262 nucleotides) under uncultured bacterium. Its description in RNAcentral is "partial 16S ribosomal RNA". It matches the Rfam family "Bacterial small subunit ribosomal RNA", at positions 335 to 584 of the family's 1533-position model. The record is from RNAcentral.
ACUCCUACGGGAGGCAGCAGUGGGGAAUGAUUGCACAAUGGGCGCAAGCCUGAUGCAGCCAUGCCGCGUGUGUGAAGAAGGCCUUACGGGUUGUAAAGCAAGCUUUCAGUCGUGAGGAAGGUAGUGUAGUUAAUAGCUGCAUUAUUUGACGUUAGCGACAGAAGAAGCACCGGCUAACUCCGUGCCAGCAGCCGCGGUAAUACGGAGGGUGCGAGCGUUAAUCGGAAUUAACUGGGCGUAAAGCGCAUGCAGGUGGUUUGUU